CCUACGGGAGGCAGCAGUGGGGGAUAUUGCACAAUGGGGGAAACCCUGAUGCAGCAACGCCGCGUGUGGGAAGAAGGUUUUCGGAUUGUAAACCACUGUUCUUGGUGAAGAUAAUGACGGUAACUAAGGAGAAAGCACCGGCUAACUCCGUGCCAGCAGCCGCGGUAAUACGUAGGGUGCAAGCGAUGCCCGGAUUUACUGGGCGUAAAGGGUGCGUAGGCGGGAUUGCAAGUCAGACGUGAAAUCCACUGGCUCAACCUGAGGACUGCGUUUGAAACUGUGGGGCUUGAGUGAAGUAGAGGUAGGCGGAAUUCCCGGUGUAGCGGUGAAAUGCGUAGAGAUCGGGAGGAACACCAGUGGCGAAGGCGGCCUACUAG
This 377-nucleotide ribosomal RNA is filed under the name uncultured bacterium. Its description in RNAcentral is "partial 16S ribosomal RNA". It matches the Rfam family "Bacterial small subunit ribosomal RNA", at positions 338 to 732 of the family's 1533-position model. The record is from RNAcentral.